AACAAACGCUGGCGGCGUGCCUAACACAUGCAAGUCGAACGAGAAAUCCCGAGCUUGCUUGGGAGAGUAAAGUGGCGCACGGGUGAGUAACGCGUGGGUAACCUACCUUUGAAUCUGGAAUAACCAGCCGAAAGGCUGACUAAUACCGGAUAUGGUUUUUAGGACUUAGGUUCUCUAAAUUAAAGGUGACCUCUUCAUGAAAGUUGCCGUUCAUAGAUGGGCCCGCGUACCAUUAGCUAGUUGGUGGGGUAAUGGCCUACCAAGGCGACGAUGGUUAGCUGGUCUGAGAGGAUGAUCAGCCACACUGGAACUGGAACACGGUCCAGACUCCUACGGGAGGCAGCAGUGAGGAAUUUUGCGCAAUGGGGGAAACCCUGACGCAGCAACGCCGCGUGAGCGAAGAAGGCCCUCGGGUCGUAAAGCUCUGUCAAGUGGGAAAAAAAUCUUUUGAUCAAUAGUCAAAAGACUUGAUGGUACCACUGGAGGAAGCACCGGCUAACUCCGUGCCAGCAGCCGCGGUAAUACGGAGGGUGCAAGCGUUGUUCGGAUUUACUGGGCGUAAAGAGCGUGUAGGCGGUUUAGCAAGUCAGAUGUGAAAGCCCCGGGCUCAACCCGGGAAGUGCAUUUGAAACUGCUUCACUAGAGUAUGGGAGAGGAGAGUGGAAUUCCUGGUGUAGAGGUGAAAUUCGUAGAUAUCAGGAGGAACACCCGUGGCGAAGGCGACUCUCUGGACCAAUACUGACGCUGAGACGCGAAAGCGUGGGUAGCAAACAGGAUUAGAUACCCUGGUAGUCCACGCCGUAAACGAUGAGAACUAGGUGUAGCGGGUAUCGACCCGAGCCGUGCCGAAGC
Molecule: ribosomal RNA, 852 nt
Filed under: uncultured bacterium
Lineage: Bacteria
Description: bacterial SSU rRNA
Rfam family: Bacterial small subunit ribosomal RNA
Source: RNAcentral